AAGUCGUAACAAGGUUUCCGUAGGUGAACCUGCGGAAGGAUCAUUAUUGAAUAAAUCUGACAUGGUUGUAGCUGGUUCUUCGGGGCACGUGCUCGCCUGUCACCUUUAUCUUUCCACCUGUGCACACACUGUAGUCCUGGAUACCUCUCGCCGCAAGGCGGAUGCAGAGACUGCUGCUCAGCCUCCGAAAGGGGGAGGACGGCUAUCUCUGAAUUUCCAGGUCUACGAUUAUCACAUACCCCAAUUGAAUGUUACAGAAUGUUAUCAAAGGGCCUUGUGCCUAUAAACCUAUACAACUUUCAGCAACGGAUCUCUUGGCUCUC
Molecule: unclassified non-coding RNA, 323 nt
Filed under: Coprinopsis pachyderma
Lineage: Eukaryota; Fungi; Basidiomycota; Agaricomycetes; Agaricales; Psathyrellaceae
Description: partial internal transcribed spacer region
Rfam family: Eukaryotic small subunit ribosomal RNA (bases 1-46)
Source: RNAcentral